AGGCGAUGAAGGACGUGCUAAUCUGCGAUAAGCGUCGGUAAGGUGAUAUGAACCGUUAUAACCGGCGAUUUCCGAAUGGGGAAACCCAGUGUGUUUCGACACACUAUCAUUAACUGAAUCCAUAGGUUAAUGAGGCGAACCGGGGGAACUGAAACAUCUAAGUACCCCGAGGAAAAGAAAUCAACCGAGAUUCCCCCAGUAGCGGCGAGCGAACGGGGAGGAGCCCAGAGCCUGAAUCAGUGUGUGUGUUAGUGGAAGCGUCUGGAAAGGCGCGCGAUACAGGGUGACAGCCCCGUACACAAAAAUGCACAUGCUGUGAGCUCGAUGAGUAGGGCGGGACACGUGGUAUCCUGUCUGAAUAUGGGGGGACCAUCCUCCAAGGCUAAAUACUCCUGACUGACCGAUAGUGAACCAGUACCGUGAGGGAAAGGCGAAAAGAACCCCGGCGAGGGGAGUGAAAAAGAACCUGAAACCGUGUACGUACAAGCAGUGGGAGCACAGAGCAAUCUGUGUGACUGCGUACCUUUUGUAUAAUGGGUCAGCGACUUAUAUUCUGUAGCAAGGUUAACCGAAUAGGGGAGCCGAAGGGAAACCGAGUCUUAACUGGGCGUUAAGUUGCAGGGUAUAGACCCGAAACCCGGUGAUCUAGCCAUGGGCAGGUUGAAGGUUGGGUAACACUAACUGGAGGACCGAACCGACUAAUGUUGAAAAAUUAGCGGAUGACUUGUGGCUGGGGGUGAAAGGCCAAUCAAACCGGGAGAUAGCUGGUUCUCCCCGAAAGCUAUUUAGGUAGCGCCUCGUGAAUUCAUCUCCGGGGGUAGAGCACUGUUUCGGCAAGGGGGUCAUCCCGACUUACCAACCCGAUGCAAACUGCGAAUACCGGAGAAUGUUAUCACGGGAGACACACGGCGGGUGCUAACGUCCGUCGUGAAGAGGGAAACAACCCAGACCGCCAGCUAAGGUCCCAAAGUCAUGGUUAAGUGGGAAACGAUGUGGGAAGGCCCAGACAGCCAGGAUGUUGGCUUAGAAGCAGCCAUCAUUUAAAGAAAGCGUAAUAGCUCACUGGUCGAGUCGGCCUGCGCGGAAGAUGUAACGGGGCUAAACCAUGCACCGAAGCUGCGGCAGCGACACUGUGUGUUGUUGGGUAGGGGAGCGUUCUGUAAGCCUGUGAAGGUGUGCUGUGAGGCAUGCUGGAGGUAUCAGAAGUGCGAAUGCUGACAUAAGUAACGAUAAAGCGGGUGAAAAGCCCGCUCGCCGGAAGACCAAGGGUUCCUGUCCAACGUUAAUCGGGGCAGGGUGAGUCGACCCCUAAGGCGAGGCCGAAAGGCGUAGUCGAUGGGAAACAGGUUAAUAUUCCUGUACUUGGUGUUACUGCGAAGGGGGGACGGAGAAGGCUAUGUUGGCCGGGCGACGGUUGUCCCGGUUUAAGCGUGUAGGCUGGUUUUCCAGGCAAAUCCGGAAAAUCAAGGCUGAGGCGUGAUGACGAGGCACUACGGUGCUGAAGCAACAAAUGCCCUGCUUCCAGGAAAAGCCUCUAAGCAUCAGGUAACAUCAAAUCGUACCCCAAACCGACACAGGUGGUCAGGUAGAGAAUACCAAGGCGCUUGAGAGAACUCGGGUGAAGGAACUAGGCAAAAUGGUGCCGUAACUUCGGGAGAAGGCACGCUGAUAUGUAGGUGAAGUCCCUCGCGGAUGGAGCUGAAAUCAGUCGAAGAUACCAGCUGGCUGCAACUGUUUAUUAAAAACACAGCACUGUGCAAACACGAAAGUGGACGUAUACGGUGUGACGCCUGCCCGGUGCCGGAAGGUUAAUUGAUGGGGUCAGCGCAAGCGAAGCUCUUGAUCGAAGCCCCGGUAAACGGCGGCCGUAACUAUAACGGUCCUAAGGUAGCGAAAUUCCUUGUCGGGUAAGUUCCGACCUGCACGAAUGGCGUAAUGAUGGCCAGGCUGUCUCCACCCGAGACUCAGUGAAAUUGAACUCGCUGUGAAGAUGCAGUGUACCCGCGGCAAGACGGAAAGACCCCGUGAACCUUUACUAUAGCUUGACACUGAACAUUGAGCCUUGAUGUGUAGGAUAGGUGGGAGGCUUUGAAGUGUGGACGCCAGUCUGCAUGGAGCCGACCUUGAAAUACCACCCUUUAAUGUUUGAUGUUCUAACGUGGACCCGUGAUCCGGGUUGCGGACAGUGUCUGGUGGGUAGUUUGACUGGGGCGGUCUCCUCCUAAAGAGUAACGGAGGAGCACGAAGGUUGGCUAAUCCUGGUCGGACAUCAGGAGGUUAGUGCAAUGGCAUAAGCCAGCUUGACUGCGAGCGUGACGGCGCGAGCAGGUGCGAAAGCAGGUCAUAGUGAUCCGGUGGUUCUGAAUGGAAGGGCCAUCGCUCAACGGAUAAAAGGUACUCCGGGGAUAACAGGCUGAUACCGCCCAAGAGUUCAUAUCGACGGCGGUGUUUGGCACCUCGAUGUCGGCUCAUCACAUCCUGGGGCUGAAGUAGGUCCCAAGGGUAUGGCUGUUCGCCAUUUAAAGUGGUACGCGAGCUGGGUUUAGAACGUCGUGAGACAGUUCGGUCCCUAUCUGCCGUGGGCGCUGGAGAACUGAGGGGGGCUGCUCCUAGUACGAGAGGACCGGAGUGGACGCAUCACUGGUGUUCGGGUUGUCAUGCCAAUGGCACUGCCCGGUAGCUAAAUGCGGAAGAGAUAAGUGCUGAAAGCAUCUAAGCACGAAACUUGCCCCGAGAUGAGUUCUCCCUGACCCUUUAAGGGUCCUGAAGGAACGUUGAAGACGACGACGUUGAUAGGCCGGGUGUGUAAGCGCAGCGAUGCGUUGAGCUAACCGGUACUAAUGAACCGUGAGGCUUAACCUUACAACGCCGAAGGUGUUU
This 2880-nucleotide ribosomal RNA is filed under the name Escherichia coli. RNAcentral describes it as "bacterial LSU rRNA". It matches the Rfam family "Bacterial large subunit ribosomal RNA". Lineage: Bacteria; Pseudomonadati; Pseudomonadota; Gammaproteobacteria; Enterobacterales; Enterobacteriaceae. The record is from RNAcentral.